Molecule: ribosomal RNA, 503 nt
Filed under: uncultured bacterium
Lineage: Bacteria
Description: bacterial SSU rRNA
Rfam family: Bacterial small subunit ribosomal RNA
Source: RNAcentral
UAGUCCACGCCGUAAACGAUGUUCACUCGCUGUUGGCGAUAUACUGUCAGCGGCCAAGCGAAAGCAUUAAGUGAACCACCUGGGGAGUACGAUCGCAAGGUUGAAACUCAAAGGAAUUGACGGGGGCCCGCACAAGCGGUGGAGCAUGUGGAUUAAUUCGAUGAUACGCGAGGAACCUUACCAGGGCUUAAAUGAUAAUUGACCGUCGCCGAAAGGUGUCUUUCUUUAGACAAGUAUCAAGGUGCUGCAUGGCUGUCGUCAGCUCGUGCCGUGAGGUGUUGGGUUAAGUCCCGCAACGAGCGCAACCCUUGUCUUUAGUUGCCAUCAUUUAGUUGGGCACUCUAGAGAAACUGCCGGUGACAAACCGGAGGAAGGUAAGGAUGACGUCAAGUCAGCAUGCCCCUUACGCUCUGGGCUACACACGUGCUACAAUGGUCGUGACAAAGAGUUGCUAGUCUGCGAAGGCAAGCCAAUCUCAUAAACGCGGCCUUAGUUCGGAUUGC